Molecule: ribosomal RNA, 253 nt
Filed under: uncultured bacterium
Lineage: Bacteria
Description: partial 16S ribosomal RNA
Rfam family: Bacterial small subunit ribosomal RNA
Source: RNAcentral
UACGUAGGGUGCGAGCGUUGUCCGGAAUUAUUGGGCGUAAAGGGCUCGUAGGCGGUUUGUCGCGUCGGGAGUGAAAACACCGGGCUUAACUCGGUGCUUGCUUUCGAUACGGGCAGACUAGAGGCAUGCAGGGGAGAACGGAAUUCCUGGUGUAGCGGUGAAAUGCGUAGAUAUCGAGAGGAACACCUGCGGCGAAGGCGGGUUGCUGGGCUGACACUGACGCUGAAGCGCGAAAGCUAGGGGAGCGAACGGG